Molecule: transfer RNA, 75 nt
Filed under: Pseudomonadota bacterium
Lineage: Bacteria; Pseudomonadati; Pseudomonadota
Also listed under: 2 other names
Description: Proteobacteria bacterium tRNA-Val
Rfam family: tRNA
About the family: Transfer RNA (tRNA) molecules are approximately 80 nucleotides in length.
Source: RNAcentral
GGACGCUUAGCUCAGUGGUAGAGCACAUCCUUCACACGGAUGGGGUCGCAGGUUCGAAACCUGCAGCGUCCACCA